CUCCUACGGGAGGCAGCAGUAGGGAAUCUUCGGCAAUGGGGGCAACCCUGACCGAGCAACGCCGCGUGAGUGAAGAAGGUUUUCGGAUCGUAAAGCUCUGUUGUAAGAGAAGAACGGGUGUGAGAGUGGAAAGUUCACACUGUGACGGUAUCUUACCAGAAAGGGACGGCUAACUACGUGCCAGCAGCCGCGGUAAUACGUAGGUCCCGAGCGUUGUCCGGAUUUAUUGGGCGUAAAGCGAGCGCAGGCGGUUUGAUAAGUCUGAAGUUAAAGGCUGUGGCUCAACCAUAGUUCGCUUUGGAAACUGUCAAACUUGAGUGCAGAAGGGGAGAGUGGAAUUCCAUGUGUAGCGGUGAAAUGCGUAGAUAUAUGGAGGAACGCCGGUGGCGAAAGCGGCUCUCUGGUCUGUAACUGACGCUGAGGCUCGAAAGCGUGGGGAGCGAACAGGAUUAGAUACCCUGGUAGUCCACGCCGUAAACGAUGAGUGCUAGGUGUUGGGUCCUUUCCGGGAUUCAGUGCCGCAGCUAACGCAUUAAGCACUCCGCCUGGGGAGUACGACCGCAAGGUUGAAACUCAAAGGAAUUGACGGGGGCCCGCACAAGCGGUGGAGCAUGUGGUUUAAUUCGAAGCAACGCGAAGAACCUUACCAGGUCUUGACAUCCCGAUGCUAUUCCUAGAGAUAGGAAGUUUCUUCGGAACAUCGGUGACCGGUGGUGCAUGGUUGUCGUCAGCUCGUGUCGUGAGAUGUUGGGUUAAGUCCCGCAACGAGCGCAACCCCUAUUGUUAGUUGCCAUCAUUCAGUUGGGCACUCUAGCGAGACUGCCGGUAAUAAACCGGAGGAAGGUGGGGAUGACGUCAAAUCAUCAUGCCCCUUAUGACCUGGGCUACACACGUGCUACAAUGGUUGGUACAACGAGUUGCGAGUCGGUGACGGCAAGCUAAUCUCUUAAAGCCAAUCUCAGUUCGGAUUGUAGGCUGCAACUCGCCUACAUGAAGUCGGAAUCGCUAGUAAUCGCGGAUCAGCACGCCGCGGUGAAUACGUUCCCGGGUCUUGUACACACGC
RNAcentral lists this ribosomal RNA (1063 nucleotides) under uncultured bacterium. RNAcentral's name for it is "bacterial SSU rRNA". It matches the Rfam family "Bacterial small subunit ribosomal RNA", at positions 336 to 1393 of the family's 1533-position model. The record is from RNAcentral.